Molecule: ribosomal RNA, 258 nt
Filed under: uncultured bacterium
Lineage: Bacteria
Description: partial 16S ribosomal RNA
Rfam family: Bacterial small subunit ribosomal RNA
Source: RNAcentral
UACGAAGGGGGCUAGCGUUGUUCGGAAUCACUGGGCGUAAAGCGCACGUUAGGCGGAUCUUUAAGUCAGGGGUGAAAUCCCGAGGCUCAACCUUCGGAAACUGCCUUUGAUACUGGGGAUCUCGAGUCCGGGAGAGGUGAGUGGAACUGCGAGUGUAGAGGUGAAAAUUCGUAGAUAUUCGCAAGAACACCAGUGGCGAAGGCGGCUCACUGGCCCGAUACUGACGCUGAGGCACGAAAGCGUGGGGAGCAAACAGGG